GACGAACGCUGGCGGCGUGCUUAACACAUGCAAGUCGAACGGAAAGGCCCUGCUUGCCGGGUACUCGAGUGGCGAACGGGUGAGUAACACGUGGGUGAUCUGCCCUGCACUUCGGGAUAAGCCUUGGAAACUGGGUCUAAUACCGGAUAGGAGCCAUUUUUAGUGUGAUGGUUGGAAAGUUUUUUCGGUGUAGGAUGAGCUCGCGGCCUAUCAGCUUGUUGGUGGGGUAAUGGCCUACCAAGGCGGCGACGGGUAGCCGGCCUGAGAGGGUGGACGGCCACAUUGGGACUGAGAUACGGCCCAGACUCCUACGGGAGGCAGCAGUGGGGAAUAUUGCACAAUGGGCGCAAGCCUGAUGCAGCGACGCCGCGUGGGGGAGGACGGCCUUCGGGUUGUAAACUCCUUUCGCUAGGGACGAAGCUUUUUGUGACGGUACCUAGAGAAGAAGCACCGGCUAACUACGUG
This 465-nucleotide ribosomal RNA is filed under the name uncultured bacterium. RNAcentral describes it as "partial 16S ribosomal RNA". It matches the Rfam family "Bacterial small subunit ribosomal RNA", at positions 28 to 507 of the family's 1533-position model. The record is from RNAcentral.